Molecule: ribosomal RNA, 601 nt
Filed under: Bacillus sp. t53(2012)
Lineage: Bacteria; Bacillati; Bacillota; Bacilli; Caryophanales; Bacillaceae
Description: bacterial SSU rRNA
Rfam family: Bacterial small subunit ribosomal RNA
Source: RNAcentral
CGACUGAUUAGAAGCUUGCUUCUAUGACGUUAGCGGCGGACGGGUGAGUAACACGUGGGCAACCUGCCUGUAAGACUGGGAUAACUUCGGGAAACCGAAGCUAAUACCGGAUAGGAUCUUCUCCUUCAUGGGAGAUGAUUGAAAGAUGGUUUCGGCUAUCACUUACAGAUGGGCCCGCGGUGCAUUAGCUAGUUGGUGAGGUAACGGCUCACCAAGGCAACGAUGCAUAGCCGACCUGAGAGGGUGAUCGGCCACACUGGGACUGAGACACGGCCCAGACUCCUACGGGAGGCAGCAGUAGGGAAUCUUCCGCAAUGGACGAAAGUCUGACGGAGCAACGCCGCGUGAGUGAUGAAGGCUUUCGGGUCGUAAAACUCUGUUGUUAGGGAAGAACAAGUACAAGAGUAACUGCUUGUACCUUGACGGUACCUAACCAGAAAGCCACGGCUAACUACGUGCCAGCAGCCGCGGUAAUACGUAGGUGGCAAGCGUUAUCCGGAAUUAUUGGGCGUAAAGCGCGCGCAGGCGGUUUCUUAAGUCUGAUGUGAAAGCCCACGGCUCAACCGUGGAGGGUCAUUGGAAACUGGGGAACUUGAGUGCA